Molecule: long non-coding RNA, 2456 nt
Organism: Neodiprion fabricii
Lineage: Eukaryota; Metazoa; Arthropoda; Insecta; Hymenoptera; Diprionidae
Exons: 4
Source: RefSeq, a predicted model, not a curated record
CCAUGCGCGUACGAGUUAAUUAACUAUGAGUAAAAGUGUCUAACGAAGCAACGAAAAAUUAGAGAGAACCAUUUUCGAGAAAGCCGACACGGGGCUUGGCCCCGAGUAAAAGUAAAAUCAUGAAUCAAUGCGAGGCCGAGUCUUGGAGAAGUCUGCGCGGCGUGUCGAUCGCGCAUACGUAAUUUGUUAUACCUACGUAAUCCAGACCAAACCUUGCCGCAGAUGAACGAACGGCUAAAUGGAAGGUAAAACAAACAUCCAGCAGCACGAUCAGUGGCAUCAAACUUGAUCAGUGGAUCGUUAGAGCGAGCCGCGCGCGACGAGAAAGUUAAUAAAAACUACGCGAGAUCCACUUGAUAAAUAUUAGAAAAAACUCAAGCGUUCGUUAUAUCCAGGUCCAUCCGGCAUCCACCCAUCUCAAUGAUACUCACGCAUGAUAAUCGGCACCGAUCGACAUCAAUGAAUAUUCAUCACCGUACGUCCACUGAUUUUUGAACGGCUUUGCCGCACCGUCGGCGUCACAGUCUGUGAACCAUGUGCACAACCGCUUCAACAUCCGUCCGCAGACGAUACGACGUCUUAAUUCCACAACGUUAGAGCUGCAGUGUCUGGAUGCCGCCUCUGCCACUUGAGCAGGUACCCGAUAGUAUCUCCCAGAAGCUCACUUCUCUGGUCAAGUCUUCGUCAAGUCUUCGAGAUGACUCUCCGGAAGUCAAGUGGGCAUCUCACACUCCAAACGCAUCAUUCGCCUUGGGGAUUCAUCCACGAUGAGGCUCUUUGGAGGUGGAAAGUCAGGAUGAGGAACCGUGCAGAGUUUCGGAGACCGUCACACUUCAGGAUCUACGACAUUCCAGCCACGCGGUUCGACGACCUUCCAGCUCUUCUCAUUAUCAGAAUAAGGUCCGAAAUACGAACUUCUACAUUACGUUGAACUCGAAGUUUUCGACCGGAUGUCCAGAUCGAUCUUGAGAGGAACAGCCAACGAAGAUCGGCGGUGAGGCGGGGUAAUACCCGGGGGAUUACCGGACUUAGGAACUGAUUUAUUCUACCGUCUUAAGACAGCAGCAGGUGCAGCGUUCGUUGGGCUAGGUUCAAACGUGCGGAAAUAGGCACGCCACUUCUGGCAGAUUUAUCGGAGCGAAAAUCGCCGUGCUCUAUCUCUCUGCACGGGAAGCUCCGUUUUUCUAAUUUCAGCUCACAAACUUCGUCAGAAAAGUUGAACAGCAAGCCAAAACCCUUAAGGCACUUUUCCUCGGAACCAUCCGUUUGCAAUUACUCGAACGGUUGGCUAAACGAGCUAAAACGAUUUCUGGGAAAGAUCUGCAAUCUCCGGUUGACUCAUGGAAUUCCAGGUAGCCAAACUCGUUUCGACACUUGAGAAAGAAUUUUAUCCGUAUGAUCCACUUCCGCCUGCAAUGGAUAGCUGGAACUCUGAUGAUGUAAGAGAAGCGAUGUUGCAUCGCUUUAAGUCACGAUAUCCAAUUCGAUAAUCUAUAGUGACCGUCAAUGAUCUUUCAACACUUUCGAUCGAUCUAUCUUAGCUUCAUAAUUGGAAGCAAUUUUGGGUGUGUGCUUUCAAGUGUAUCUAACUUGCCACCUAGUAAUUCGUCAUUUUCAUUGAUAGGAGACGUUAACGUUGUAACCCAAUAUUGCCUUCAAGUUGCAUUAUCAGCCUAACGAUGAAUGCGCGUAUUUUCAGUUCGAAAAUAACCAAUCAUGCAAAACUUUGCACAGGGUUCGGUUACGCUGUCGCGAAAUCGUGGAUGGGACAAAAGGGUUUGAACAACAUCCGGAGGAUUUGAAAAAGUAGUUUUUAUUACAGUCAAUCGUUAGUAUUUCUUAGGCUGCUGGUUUCGCGUCUGUUGAUUGAACAGUGUCGUUUCCGGCCUGAGUCUUGGGGGUGGUUUGGUGGGUUCUUCUUCUUCCGGAACUUCCGUCGUUGACGGCUGCUUGGCGAUCCACUCAAGCGCCCUUUGUAUGGCGAUGGGAAUCGGGGGUGGCGUGGGAAGAUGAGCCCCGGCGACUUGGGUGCCAAAUUCGUCGGCUGUCCAGCUCAAUGAAAUCGGAGUACCGUCGGGUGCGUUGUAUUGCACAGAGCCCUGGAUCAGUUGGGUCUCGUCCGAUGUUCCGGCGUAUUUCCGGCUCCCGACUUCCUUCUGCAGGAUUCCACCCUCCGUCUCGUAGUUGAACGAAUAGUGCCCUUUAUUGUCACCAAGGUUGUGCUCUGCGGAAAUCACCUUCUCCGGCUCCCGGAAGUACUCCUGACUCGAUGAUAAUCCGGCGCUGAAGGCCAACAACUGAAAGAAAAAUCCCUUACAGAUCUCGCGAAUUCACAUAGACGAAUGCUACUACAGCGGUUGUCAAUCACUGCAGAUCUACAAGGCCACCCGAAGCGUUGCAGUUGAAGGAGACCGGAAUGAAAAUUGCGCCAGAGGGGUUGAAGAGAGAAGAGGUGG